Molecule: small nuclear RNA, 112 nt
Organism: Dermatophagoides pteronyssinus (European house dust mite)
Lineage: Eukaryota; Metazoa; Arthropoda; Arachnida; Sarcoptiformes; Pyroglyphidae
Source: RefSeq, a predicted model, not a curated record
GUGUUGUGAAAAGGAGAGAAGGUUAGCACUCCCCUGGAUGAGGACGGAUUUAUAAAGACACACACAUAUGUCUUGAAAACAUGGUUUUAGCAAAACCAUGUGAAUUUUUUUU